GACGAACGCUGGCGGCGGGCUUAACACAUGCAAGUUGAACGGAAAGGCCCUGCUUUUGUGGGGUGCUCGAGUGGCGAACGGGUGAGUAACACUUUGGUAACCUGCCCUUGACUUUGGGAUAACUUCAUGAAACUGGGGCUAAUACCGGAUAGGAGCUCCUGCUGCAUGGUGGGGGUUGGAUAGUUUCGGCGGUUGGGGAUGGACUCGCGGCUUAUCAGCUUGUUGGUGGGGUGGUGUCUUACCAAGGCUUGGCAGGGUAGCCGGCCUGCGAGGGUGACCGGACACAUUGGGACUGAGAUACGGCACAGACUCCUACGGGAGGCAGCAGUGGGGAGUAGUGCACAAGGGGCGGAAGCCUGAUGCAGCAACGCCGCGUGCGGGAUGACGGCCUGCGGGUUGUAAACCGAUUUCGCCUGUGACGAAGCGUGAGUGACGGUAACGGGUAAAGAAGCACCGGCUAACUACGUG
Molecule: ribosomal RNA, 468 nt
Filed under: uncultured bacterium
Lineage: Bacteria
Description: partial 16S ribosomal RNA
Rfam family: Bacterial small subunit ribosomal RNA
Source: RNAcentral